CUUGUCCUACGGGGGGCAGCAGUGAGGAAUAUUGGUCAAUGGGCGGAAGCCUGAACCAGCCAAGUAGCGUGAAGGAUGAAGGUUCUAUGGAUUGUAAACUUCUUUUAUAAAGGAAUAAAGUGAGGCACGUGUGCCUUUUUGUAUGUACUUUAUGAAUAAGGAUCGGCUAACUCCGUGCCAGCAGCCGCGGUAAUACGUAGGAUCCGAGCGUUAUACGGAUUUAUUGGGUUUAAAGGGAGCGUAGUUGGGAUGUUAAGUCAGUUGU
Molecule: ribosomal RNA, 265 nt
Filed under: uncultured bacterium
Lineage: Bacteria
Description: partial 16S ribosomal RNA
Rfam family: Bacterial small subunit ribosomal RNA
Source: RNAcentral